RNAcentral lists this long non-coding RNA (712 nucleotides) under Coffea arabica (coffee). RNAcentral's name for it is "long non-coding RNA (CARA_LNC002268)". The record is from RNAcentral. Lineage: Eukaryota; Viridiplantae; Streptophyta; Magnoliopsida; Gentianales; Rubiaceae.
GCAUAUCAUCGAUUCUUAGCUCAAUUGGGGUGAUAAUCAACCCCAAAAUUGUCAGCAACCCAAGGAAAUUUAGUCCGGACAGUAUACAAGCUCACGUGUUCAGAAGUUUAGGCAAAUUAACAGGGGAUUCGCACCAAAAUAACACCAUGGCAAACUCAUUUCAGAAGUUUGAGAGAAACUGAAAUUUGAAGAAAAUAACUUACAGGGCUAUAAAUUCUGAAGUCGAAUUGAAUCUGGGGGGGUGGCGCUGACGGUAGACGGCUCUGUGGAGAUGGCAGUAGAAGCCCCUGCUGCUUUGAUGGCUACGGUGGCAGCAACGGCAGUGGGAGUUGAAAGGCGGCAGCAGAGGUGGAGAGUAGCAUACAGCAACAACGACGAGUGCGGCCUGGAGGUGGCUUGGGCAAGCGGUUGGCUGCUUGUUGGUCGCGCUGGAGAAGAAAGGUGGCGCACGAGGUGGAGGUGCCGUGGCGGAGCUCGGAUUGCGGCGGACCUCCUGGUCUUUGUUUCCUCACUUUGCGUUUAGUUCCUUUGCCUCUGCCCGAAAUUCCUCCUCCAAAUUCCAGAUUUCGGCUGCCAGUUUCUUUUUUUUUUAGUUCCGUUUCUUGCUCUUCCUAAAUUCCUCUCAGCUAUCUUCUCCGUUUUCUGUUCCCUUUACUCUCCGCAGCCCCCUUCUCUGUUCUUUAGCCUUUCCUUAGCCGAAUCCUCCCCUGUU